GAUGAACGCUAGCGGCAGGCCUAACACAUGCAAGUCGAGGGGCAGCACAUAAAGUGGUUUACUACUUUUGGUGGCGACCGGCGGACGGGUGCGUGACGCGUAUGCAACCUGCCUCCAACAGGGGGAUAACGGAGAGAAAUUUCCACUAAUACCCCAUAAUAUCAGAAUCGGCAUCGGUUUUGGCUGAAAACUCCGGUGGUUGGAGAUGGGCAUGCGUUGUAUUAGAUAGUUGGUGAGGUAACGGCUCACCAAGUAAACUAUACAUAGGGGGAAUGAGAGGUUAGCCCCCCACACUGGUACUGAGACACGGACCAGACUCCUACGGGAGGCAGCAGUGAGGAAUAUUGGUCAAUGGGGGCAACCCUGAACCAGCCAUGCCGCGUGCAGGAAGACGGCUCUAUGAGUUGUAAACUGCUUUUACAAGGGGAUAAAUCGGUGUACGUGUACACCGUUGAAGGUACCUUGGGAAUAAGGAUCGGCUAACUCCGUGCCAGCAGCCGCCGUAA
RNAcentral lists this ribosomal RNA (506 nucleotides) under uncultured bacterium. Its description in RNAcentral is "partial 16S ribosomal RNA". It matches the Rfam family "Bacterial small subunit ribosomal RNA", at positions 28 to 523 of the family's 1533-position model. The record is from RNAcentral.